AUAAUACUCCAUAGAUUAGAGAUACUGGAAUGUUCUUUAGUCAAAAGUUCCGGCGCCUUAGGAUGGAUCUGCGGUCGAUUAGGUUGUUGUUGGGGUAACGGCCCAACAAGCCUGUAAUCGAUACGGGUUGUGGGAGCAAUAGCCCGGAGAUGGAAUCUGAGGCAAGAUUCCAGGCCCUACGGGGCGCAGCAGGCGCGAAAACUUUACAAUGCAGGAAACUGUGAUAAGGGAACCCCGAGUGCCCGUAUACGCGGGCUGUCCAGGUGUUUAAAAGUCAUCUGAAGAAAGGGCCGGGCAAGACCGGUGCCAGCCGCCGCGGUAAUACCGGCGGCUCGAGUGGUGGCCACUAUUAUUGGGCUUAAAGCGUCCGUAGCUGGACUGAUAAGUCUCUUGGGAAAUCCGCCGGCUCAACCGGCGGGCGUCUAAGGGAUACUGUUGGUCUAGGGACCGGGAGAGGUGAGAGGUACUCCGGGGGUAGGAGUGAAAUCCUGUAAUCCCCGGGGGACCACCGAUGGCGAAGGCAUCUCACCAGAACGGCUCCGACAGUGAGGGACGAAAGCUGGGGGAGCAAACCGGAUUAGAUACCCGGGUAGUCCCAGCCGUAAACUAUGCGCGUUAGGUGU
This 623-nucleotide ribosomal RNA is filed under the name uncultured archaeon. RNAcentral's name for it is "bacterial SSU rRNA". It matches the Rfam family "Archaeal small subunit ribosomal RNA", at positions 146 to 774 of the family's 1478-position model. The record is from RNAcentral.